Molecule: ribosomal RNA, 497 nt
Filed under: uncultured bacterium
Lineage: Bacteria
Description: partial 16S ribosomal RNA
Rfam family: Bacterial small subunit ribosomal RNA
Source: RNAcentral
GAUGAACGCUGGCGGCGUGCCUAAUACAUGCAAGUCGAGCGAACAGACGAGGAGCUUGCUCCUCUGACGUUAGCGGCGGACGGGUGAGUAACACGUGGAUAACCUACCUAUAAGACUGGGAUAACUUCGGGAAACCGGAGCUAAUACCGGAUAAUAUAUUGAACCGCAUGGUUCAAUAGUGAAAGACGGUUUUGCUGUCACUUAUAGAUGGAUCCGCGCCGCAUUAGCUAGUUGGUAAGGUAACGGCUUACCAAGGCGACGAUGCGUAGCCGACCUGAGAGGGUGAUCGGCCACACUGGAACUGAGACCCGGUCAAGACUCCUACGGGAGGCAGCAGUAGGGAAUCUUCCGCAAUGGGCGAAAGCCUGACGGAGCAACGCCGCGUGAGUGAUGAAGGUCUUCGGAUCGUAAAACUCUGUUAUUAGGGAAGAACAAAUGUGUAAGUAACUAUGCACGUCUUGACGGUACCUAAUCAGAAAGCCACGGCUAACUACGUG